UACGAAGGUGGCAAGCGUUACUCGGAAUUACUAGGCGUAAAGGGCAGGUAGGUGGUUUGGUUAGUCUGUUGUGAAAGCUCCUUGCUUAACGGGGAGAGGUCAACAGAUACUGCCAAGACUUGAGUAUGGGAGAGGUUACUGGAAUCCUGGUGUAGCGGUGGAAAUGCGCAGAGAUCAGGAGGAACACCGAUGGCGAAAGCAGGUAACUGGACCAUUACUGACACUCAGCUGCGAAAGCUAGGGGAGCAAACAGG
This 254-nucleotide ribosomal RNA is filed under the name uncultured bacterium. RNAcentral describes it as "partial 16S ribosomal RNA". It matches the Rfam family "Bacterial small subunit ribosomal RNA", at positions 524 to 776 of the family's 1533-position model. The record is from RNAcentral.